Molecule: ribosomal RNA, 463 nt
Filed under: uncultured bacterium
Lineage: Bacteria
Description: partial 16S ribosomal RNA
Rfam family: Bacterial small subunit ribosomal RNA
Source: RNAcentral
GACGAACGCUGGCGGCGUGCUUAACACAUGCGAGUCGAGCGGUAAGGCCCUUCGGGGUCCACGAGCGGCGAACGGGUGAGUAACACGUGAGUAAUCUGCCCAUCACUUCGGGAUAACUCCGGGAAACCGGUGCUAAUACCGAAUAUGACCACUUCAGGCAUCUGAUGGUGGUGGAAAGUUCCGGCGGUGAUGGAUGAGCUCGCGGCCUAUCAGCUUGUUGGUGGGGUAGUGGCCUACCAAGGCUUCGACGGGUAGCCGGCCUGAGAGGGUGACCAGCCACACUGGGACUGAGACACGGCCCAGACUCCUACGGGAGGCAGCAGUGGGGAAUAUUGGACAAUGGGCGAAAGCCUGAUCCAGCAACGCCGCGUGAGGGAUGACGGCCUUCGGGUUGUAAACCUCUUUCAGCAGGGACGAAGCGCAAGUGACGGUACCUGCAGAAGAAGCACCGGCCAACUACGUG